GGACGAGACUUCAAUGCCGCUUCUUUUUGCUCUGGAAGCACCUGAAGCGUUGGCACGAAGGCUGAAGGCAUCAUGAGGGUCUCUGAGCUACACCCCACCCGCUGCGGGCACCUGCAUCCCGUAAGCCCCCUCCAAGGCAGCGCACUCACACCAUCAGGUCGGCUUUGUUGCUACCUUUCAGCCGUGCCGUUGCGGUGCUGCAGAACUCGGCAUUGCUGCCUGCAGCGCUGCCAUGGUGGUACUUGAUUCCCAGCUCAGGGCUCCUGCUCUGCAUUGCCCGAUCCACUUGGCACAGCUCUGGGGGCAGAACGGAACCCAAAGGAGGCUCUGGACGAUGGACUUUGCUACAGGGAAACCUAAUGCUACCACAGAAAGGGAAGUGAUGUUGUUACAGUGACAAUCCUGAGGAGCAGCUGCUGUUACGGAUGAGGGCAAAGGAGUGGGUACCUCUGCAUUCAGUUAUUAUUUCUGCUCUCUUACAGGAGAGGAAGCAUGGUGUAGCAAUGUGAACUGCCACACAUGGCAAAGCUCGUUUUCCCACCGAGAGCUGGUGUUUUGUGGGACCACAACCUGGUCCCACGAAAGAAGGCAACCUUUCUCCAGUCCACGUAGCAAAACCCCUUCCCACCUUUUCUCAGGCAAGGUGCAAGUAGCUGCCAAAUGUGGCAUUCCUCUGCUUUUCAGUUGAGCUGGGAUGUGGGUUUGCAGGGCAGCCUGGCUAAGUGAGCAGCAGUCACUGGGAGGAUGCUGUUGCCUGCACAGAUGGUCACGUGGGGAACUGGUUCCAUCCCAGGGAGAGCGCUGCAUGCUCUACAGGUGUGAUGCUUAAAGCUGAGACCCCGUAGAGGGAUGCCAUGGGCUGCACAGGCAGGAUGCGGCCCCAGAGGGCAGGGUUCCCUGCAGACACUGCACAAAUUGUGACAGCUCUGGAUCCAGCUGCACGGUGUGUGCUGGUUCCCCCCGCAGAGCAGGGUCAAGCCCGGACAGCCCAUCCUGUGAGCCCAGCGAGCUCAGCAAACAACACCAAUGCUGUUACAAUGCAGCAAAACCCCGCGGGACGUCAUGGCAUGCAUUAAUCACAGUAAUGUGAUGUUCUGACCAGAGGUCAUGUCAUGUUUGAAGUGUUUGAACCCAGACCCUUGGCAGGUAGAGCCGCAGUGGGGAGCAGGCUGAGCAAGCGUGGGGCCGCUCUCCCUGUGGCAAAGCUGAAAGAGUUUCCAUGUGGAUGGCUUUAAUUACUUCAUUCCAAAGAACGCACUCUCUGCUAAGAUCCCUCCAGAAGUUAAACAGGAGCGGUGAGGCAGACGCUGGCACAACAGAACCCAUGCACUGCUCAGCAUGCCGCAGAGGUGGGCAGCUGUGGCUGUUCUCUGCAAUGGGUGCCAAACUCUUGGAGUGGUUGGUAUUAUUUUUUGACUGUGUUGCAUUGCAAGGACAUGUCAGCAGCUAUAAAGACAAAGGGUGACUGAGUUUGGCCAUCAAAUAAGAACAGCAAAGAAAAUGUGUGUUUACAUGUGUGUGUUUACAGCCUGUCCCUGUGGUACAUGCCCAGCACUCCGGGGAAUCCUACACAGUGCCAUGACCCAAAUCAGCACCCAAGCCUGCCUCACUGCAAAGCAUGCCUGUAAUUUCAACUUGAUGCUGUUCUUUCAUGCAGCAGCUACUGGAAGGCUUGGGAGAUCUGAUCCUGGGAGUGAGACAGACUGAAAGCACCAGGCACUGCUGGUGCCAUGCUGCUGUGCUCAUACCUGCCCAAAAGCAAGUUAAAAUGCAAGUCUGGGAGACUUUGUCACAGAGUUUUACCACUGAACAAUACUGAAACGUGUCAAGAAUUAGACAGAACUGCGUGGGAUGCACUCUCUACUCACAGAAAUGUGUGUUUUUCUGGGCACAGAGGAGGUGCUGAGCACCAUCAAUGAACUGACUAUAACGCUAGAAGCAAAUAUUAUGUGACGGAUUUCAUUUGCCAGCAGGGUGGCAAAAUGUCUGUCCAAAGAAGUGCAAACAACGCCCGCCGACCCGCUGAAAUCAGCUGGUGCCAUGCAGCUGCAGGUGGUCACACCUUUGUUUUUCUACAGAAAGUGAAUAUGUAGUUGGAGUUUCCUUAUCUAAGUAGGAAUACCAUCACCUUUGAUCAGGGUUUGUGAGCGAGGGAUAAAGAAGAAGCAGUCUGAUGCACCCACUUGCUAUGGAACUCGGGUCAUUCUGCAGAGGCAAGACGUAUGGGAAACUGUUUUUUUUUUCCUUUGGACAGCUGGUCUCUCCUCUUGACCCCAUUAUGGUGCCCGUGUGGAACUGCCACCCUCUCACCCAGACCUUGGGGCUGCCCAUCACAUCCCACCUGGCUGGGCACCUCCGUGACACCUCCAGUCUGCCCACAGCGAAAGGGUUCAGACACAUGGUUCCUGUCUGUUUUGCACUAACCACCUGCCAGCAAGGUUCGGUGUUACUCAUGAAGGCCAUCCACCCCUGUACACAAUUCUGCCUUCAGCACCGCAUACACACACACUCUGGUCACGCUCUGCAGACCCAGCCCAGAGCUUCUCCGAACAUCAUCACAAAUCACCCUCUGGGAUAUGGUUGCUUACAACAAAUUUAUUUCAACGGAAUUGAAAAACCCUCUUGUUCUGGAGCACAAUUAAUGAAGAGUUGAGGCUGUGUUCAUCUUCUAGUUCCCCACAUCUUUCAUCCCCACCCUGCCCACAUAAUACCUCUGCCUACCUCUGACACUGACGGCAGUGCUAGGCUGCAGAAUAACAGUCCUUUCAACUGAAGAAAAACAAGAGAGAGACACUCAGACAAUAAUUUUAGAAGUGCAUUGUUUCCUGUAGAGCCUCAGUCCUUUCACUCCCAGAACUUGGGCUGACCUGCAUUAGGCACAGACUGCUAUAAAAACGGCCCUCCCUGCGGGUUUGCUGCCCCGUCAUCAUCUCCUUGGGCUCAUCGAGGCGGCACACAGCAGUGCGUGCGUGGCACAGAGCGUGUCACUGGCGCAGCAACCGGUGGGUGAAUCAUAAUGAAACUAUGAAGAGGAAACAUGUCACAAAGGAAAGCUCGCUUUUCAGUGGAGUGCUUCAUCUACAGAAGAGUGCUCAAGUUAAGGAUGCCGAUGAGAGAAUUAACUUGUGCCCUGGUCACUUAAUGCAGCGUUUUAUGCAGUUAUUUACCGGUUCUGUUGCUAUGGGAAAUGUGAAUACUUGCCAUGACAACUGCAGCAGAUCGUGGCACACAACCCACUUCAGCACUGCGUCUUCAUAAGGAAACGCUCCCAUUCAUACGUCCUACAAAUUCUGUGUCCUUGACAGCAGCUCAGCGUGGGGUUUUUAGGCGCAGCCAUUGCUUUUCUGUGUUUUACAGUGGGGUAUUGCCUUGUGUCUAAAAUUGGUUAUUACCUAUUUCUUAGGUAGCUCUUCAAUAUUAGACCUUAAAGCACUUUGCAAAGGUAAACCUUAAAAAAAAUAUAUUAAAAUUAAAAUUAAAAAAAAAAUACAAGAAAAACCCUCUGCUUAAUUUACAGAUGAGAAAAUCAG
This is a long non-coding RNA of Gallus gallus (chicken), 3530 nucleotides long. NCBI's taxonomy places the organism in Eukaryota, Metazoa, Chordata, Aves, Galliformes, Phasianidae. The record is from Ensembl.